RNAcentral lists this ribosomal RNA (253 nucleotides) under uncultured bacterium. RNAcentral's name for it is "partial 16S ribosomal RNA". It matches the Rfam family "Bacterial small subunit ribosomal RNA", at positions 524 to 776 of the family's 1533-position model. The record is from RNAcentral.
UACAGAGGGGGCAAGCGUUGUUCGGAAUUACUGGGCGUAAAGGGCGCGUAGGCGGCCUGCUAAGUCGAACGUGAAAUCCCCGAGCUCAACUCGGGAACUGCGUCCGAUACUGGCAGGCUUGAAUCCGGGAGAGGGAUGCGGAAUUCCAGGUGUAGCGGUGAAAUGCGUAGAUAUCUGGAGGAACACCGGUGGCGAAGGCGGCAUCUUGGACCGGCAUUGACGCUGAUGAGCGAAAGCCAGGGGAGCAAACGGG